CUUUUGACUGACCCUGGCACCGCCCUCAACCCGCCCGGGUAGACACCGCGCCACCCGCUCCGGGACGCCGCCCAGCGACAAGGCCGCGGGGUCAGCGUGUCUGUACCGGUGCUGCAACGGGAGGGUCGGGCGGCGACGCUCUCACUGCCGGGCCAGAAGGAGGCCUCCCGGCUCCCUCACGCUAGAAGGGAGCUGGUUACCAGAGGUUUUCAGAGACGCCAAAGUUUUGCCAGGCCAAGGGAUCCUCCCAUCUCAGCCUCCCAAGUAGCUGGGAAUACAGGCACAUGCCACCAUGCCGGGCUAAUUUGUAAAUUUUUUGUAGAGAUGGGAUCUCCCUGUGUUGACCAGGCUGGUCUCAAACUGCUGAGUCCAAGCAGUCCUCCUGCCUCGGCCUCCCAAAGUGCUGGGAUUCCAGGCAUGAGCCCCUGCACCCUAUCCUUAAAUUCUUUUUUCAUGGUUUUAUUCAUCAUCCCAAGCUGUCUGGGCUCAAGGCGUUAGUAUCCCAUGCAAUGAGGGCCUAGAAGUUUCGUCUCCUGACAUCCUCCCCAGGCAGUCCCAUCGCUGGGUUUCAGAGGCCAUCAAGCCCAGCAGGCUUCAAAUCCCCCAACAGAGUCCCCCUUACCUGGGGCUGCCUGGGGAACUCCCAUCCCACUUCAACUUGAGCACCUUUGCCUUUGUAUUUUUAUUUAUUUACAUUUCCUGGUAAGAAUUUGUUGCAAGCACAUGAAAGAUUUUGUGGCUGAAGUAAUGUAAAACCAUUGAUCAAACCGGAAAUUGAGACACAGCCAGCGUCACACAACAGGCCAUCUGAAAGGCUGGAAUAGCAUCGAGGGAGUCUCCCUGGAACCAAGCAGCCAAGGCAGGCUAAUGGUGAAGGCCCAGGCACAGUAAUGGUCCCCUGGAGAUGGAGUCCUGCUCUGUCAUCCAUGCUGGAGUGCAGUGGCGUGAUCUCAGCUCACUGCAACCUCCGCCUCCUGGGUUCAAGUGAUUCUCCUGCCUCAGCCUCCCAAGUAGCUGGGAUUACAAGUGUGCACCAUCACACCCUGCUGAUUUUUGUAUUUUUAGUAGAGACAGGGUUUCACCAUGUUGGCCAGGCUGUUCUUGAACUCCUGGCCUAAAGCGAUCCACCCGCCUUGGCCUCCCAAAGUCCUGGGAUUACAGGCGUGAGCCACCGUACCUGACCCCUGUCCCUGAACAUUUGUCACAAUAUAUUAUGAGUGAAUGAGUAAGAACUCUAUUUUAGUGGUCACCUUCUUUGUGCUAGUCAUUAAGUUUAAGGUAUCUCGCUUAAUAUUCUCCAGAACCCUGUGAGAUAGGCAUUAUUUUAUUCUCAUGUGACAUGUAGAGAAACAGGUUCAGAAAGGGGAAGCGAAAGUCCAAAGCAGUGAAUCUGCGGUGGGUCUCCUGGCCCCAGAAUUGCAGCCUGAUGGGAAGGAAGGCCCUGCUGAGUUCCCAGAGUUAUGGCUGGGUCAUGGCAUUGGGACCCACACUGGCAGCUCCAGUUACACAGGGCUGGGCUGGCUCUAGCAGCCUUGUCUUACUUGCUCCCUGAACUGCUGCAUUGACCUGCACCAUCCUCCCUUCCCUUGCCAGCCGAGAACUGUGCUCCUCAGGUUUCCUGGGCAGGGUCCAGGGCUCUGAUGCCAAACGCAGCCUGGAAACUCUAGCUCUCAGCAUGCCAGGAUGCGGGCACCCAAGUGAGGCCGCCUGGGAUGCAGGAAGCUUAGUCCAGGCCUGGGCAUGCCUCUGUUCCAUCUCCCCUCAAGCAGGACCAGCUACUUAAUCUGCGGGACCCAGAGCAGAAUGAAAAUGUGGGCCCCUCAUUCAAAAAUUUAAAAUUUCCAACAAAAGAAUGAAAAAAUAAGAAAAAAUUAAGAAUUUCAAGAUGGUGAUAGCAGAGUAUUUAACACUUCAAAUCAUGACCCUUACUGUCCAGGUCACAUGCCCACAAAGUCAGCCCUGUCGUCAGGCCUUGGUUUCCUUGUCUGUCAAGUGGGAGAAUGGUAGCCACUGGCCAAAAGGGUGAGGGUGAGAAUGAGGUGGGAGCUGGUGGUAAGAGGUCCAGUGAACAGCAUGAGGAUGAGGUAAGAGUCUCCAAGUUCAUGAUUUGUUAUCUGGGUCUCAGCACCGGGUGGCAGGCCAAACUCCUUGCCAGGAGUUUGAUUGCUUACAACAGCUCUUUUUCACAGAACCAAAAAACUAAAAAUCCAUGAAGCAAAGUAACUUGCUCAGGGUCACACAGAGACUCAGUGGGGGAAGCCAAGAUCAGAGUUCUGGCCUGGCUCUCUUCGAAGCUGGUGCUUUUUGUGACCCAGGCAGGAGAGAGAGAAGCGCAGGAGGGAGGUGGGAUGGGGACAGGCUGCUCAGGACAAAGAGGGCCACUGUGCAGACACAAAGACCUGACCACAGAGGCCCCUCUGGGGGCUGGGACAGACAAAUGGAUGGAGCCCUGUGACUCUAUCUGUGGUGACUGGGGUAGCUGCCAGGAGCUGCCUCCUAGACCCUACCUGGUUGUGAUGAGGGUUGGGGAGGGUGUUGGUGUGCAGGAACCAGGAAAUGGGUCAGGGAGGAGAAACAAACUCAGAGAUGGGCCCCUUCCCCACUCCCCAGGCCUCUGACCCCAUCUCCCCCUAGCUCCUCCUGGGCAGCCUGCCAGCUUAUGGAAUCUCCCACAAACCAUCCACCGCCCCACAUUCCUCCUUCUCAGUGAGGGUGAGGCUCAGGCAACUCACUGUCUGGCAGUCCCAGCCUCACAAUACUUCUGACCCUUCCCCAUCACCAGUGGCAGGAUGAAGCAUAUGCCCUCGGCGCAGUGUCCUUCAGGGCCCUGUGUGACCUGCCCUGCUGACCUUUCUUCACUCACCUGUCCCCACUCCUCCUCAGCCUUCUACGCUGCAGUCACAUGGAACGUCCCACCAUUCUCCAAACACUCUGUCCUUUCAUACACACACCCCCAUGUUGGCUCAUGCUUUUCCUUCUUCCUGGGGGGCUGUUUCCCCUGCUCCAGUAGACUGAAAUCCCAUUUCUCCUCCAUGAACCAGCUCAAAUGCCACCUCCAGUAGCCAGCUUUCCUCCAUGCCCACAGUUGGGUUUAGCUUCGCUCAUUAACCUGUUAAUCUACACAUGUUGGGUUCACCCACUCUAGCGGUGCUCCUCCCACGCUGGCUUGUGUUGUAGUUGUUCCAAUCCACAAAGCCUACCUGGAAGAGGGGACCUUUGAGCUGAGCCUUACAGGACAGGUGGACUUCACUAGUGAAUGUCAGUGGUAAGAAGUGACAGGAGCUCAAAGAAUCAGGGAUAUCAGCCCUAUCUCCAAAAUUUUAUCUGCAUCAGCCAGGUUGCUGAGUUCAAAUAGCAAGGAGUCUAUAGUUCAGAAUGGCAGGAGUUGAGUGUGCAGGGACACUGUCAAGGGAUAAAGUUAAGAGGUUCACCAGGGCCAAGCCACGAAGGGUUUUAUAAUGCCAUACUAAGGAAUUUUUUUGCUUGCUUGUUUAAAACACAUUUGAAUUUAUUUCUCAGCUCUAUAGUUUACUAAGUAAUUAAGUUCUGGCUUUUAUCUUUACUAUUUUCUCCCUCUUAAUUACCUUGGGUAGCUUUUCUGUUCUUUUUCUACAAGCUUAUUAAAGUGAAUACUUAGGCUGGGUGCGGUGGCUCAUGCCUGUAAUCCUAGCACUUUGGGAGGCCGAGGUGGGUGGAUCACUUGAGGCCAGGAGUUUGACUGGCCUGGCCAACAUGAUGAAACCCCGUCCCUACUAAAAAUACAAAAAUUAGCCGGUCAUGGUGGCACACGCUUGUAAUUCCAGCUACUCGGGAGGCUGAGGCGUGAAAAUCACUUGAACCCAGGAGUUGGAGGUUGCAGUGAGCCAAGAUCAUGCCGCUGUACUCCAGCCUGAGUGACAGAGCAAGACUCUGUCUCAAAAUAAAUAAAUAAAUAAAUAAAUAAAUGUGAAUACCUAUUUUGUUGUCAUUCUUUUUCAAUAAUGUAAGCAUUUUUAAGGCUAUCAUUUCCCUCUGAAUUCAGCU
RNAcentral lists this long non-coding RNA (4023 nucleotides) under Homo sapiens (human). Its description in RNAcentral is "HSALNT0178092". The record is from RNAcentral. Lineage: Eukaryota; Metazoa; Chordata; Mammalia; Primates; Hominidae.